UCAAAAUUCGCUGACCGAGUGAACUUUCAGCGGGCGGUGCACUCGUCUAUUCUCUCAUUGGUUCAAGAGUCUGGAGUCUGUUCGUUCUAGGUACGUCUUCGAUUCGAGUAACGCUGAAGGUUUUGAUCUUAACGGACGUGUCUUGAGAGCAUUGAGAGCAGUGGUUGCUGUGCAUUCCAGGUAGAAUUUUUAAUCUGCAGAAAAAGUUGCUGCAAGCAUCCGCGAUGUACAAGGCACCGACUGACGACGACCAACAGGUCCGGAAACCACCAGUGGCAAGGAUGGCGACCACAACAGCAACAGCUGUUGGGACUGGUGCGCUGCAAAUUGCAGUCGGAAUCAGCAGUGCGCUUGGGAGGUGCCUGCGUGCCCUGUGUAUUCGAUUGUUCACAGGAGCUGGAGGAGUUGUAGCGAGGGGACACAUCAGAUCUAAAACAUGGCGCUCUGCAGCAGUGUACGGUGGCACAAGAUUUUGUGCCUUUUUAUUAUCGCCUGUGGUUCCGUUUCUAGCAAUCAUUUUGUUGUGCUACGACUUGUACUGUCUUCAUAGAUGGGCGGUCAGCCAAAGCGAUGACAAUGUUGGAGAAUAUUCUCGUGUUUCAGAUUAUCGUCAAUAAAAAUGUUCACACCAGGUAGACGUUCAUAAAUACACUUUUAAGUUUGUGGUUCUGA
Aedes albopictus (Asian tiger mosquito) is the source of this 672-nucleotide long non-coding RNA. RefSeq lists it as uncharacterized. The transcript has 2 exons. The record is from RefSeq and is a predicted model, not a curated record. NCBI's taxonomy places the organism in Eukaryota, Metazoa, Arthropoda, Insecta, Diptera, Culicidae.